GAUGAAGAACGCAGCGAAAUGCGAUAAGUAGUGUGAAUUGCAGAAUUCAGUGAAUCAUCGAAUCUUUGAACGCACAUUGCGCCCCAUGGUAUUCCGUGGGGCAUGCCUGUUCGAGCGUCAUUUACCCCCUCAAGCUCCGCUUGGUGUUGGGCGUCUGUCCCGCUUCGCGCGCGGACUCGCCCCAAAGGUAUUGGCAGCGGUCGUGCCAGCUUCUCGCGCAGCACAUUGCGCUUCUCGAGGCACCGGUGGGCCCGCGUCCAUCAAGCUCACCCCCCCCAGUUUGACCUCGGAUCAGGUAGGGAUACCCGCUGAACUUAAGCAUAUCAAUAAGCGGAGGA
RNAcentral lists this unclassified non-coding RNA (338 nucleotides) under soil metagenome. RNAcentral describes it as "partial contains 5.8S ribosomal RNA, internal transcribed spacer 2, and large subunit ribosomal RNA". The stretch from base 1 to 120 matches the Rfam family "5.8S ribosomal RNA", at positions 35 to 154 of the family's 154-position model. The record is from RNAcentral.